RNAcentral lists this long non-coding RNA (445 nucleotides) under Hordeum vulgare. RNAcentral's name for it is "long non-coding RNA (HVUL_LNC002445)". The record is from RNAcentral. Lineage: Eukaryota; Viridiplantae; Streptophyta; Magnoliopsida; Poales; Poaceae.
UAUAAUAAAAGUGAACAAAGGGAGUAGAUAAUUCUACCAGUGAUGAUACGGAACCACACACACAAACUACACCAAAUAACCAUGGAUGAUACAGGGAACUAAACCAUUAUAAGGCAAAACUACUCGGCACAAAUCAGGGACUUCACUGUGACAGCUCACACCGUGAUUCGAGUUCAAGCUACUCCAAGGCACCUUCCGAAAGCUUGGCACGGCAGAGGUACUGAGAUGCAUCCACCAGACAAAAGCUUGGCACGGCAGAGGUACUGAGAUGCAUCCACCUGCCGAAGUCGACAAACCAUCUCAUUGUCAAGCCUACCAGUCCAACAUGGGAAUAAAGCACACAACCACGUACAUGUCAUGGUUUCAGGUCCUCACUUUCGAGCGUAAUAGUUUCAAAUCACCAGGGAAGGUCGAUGCUAGUUAGUACUUAGUAGUAGUAGAUAUG